AUUGAACGCUGGCGGCAUGCUUUACACAUGCAAGUCGAACGGUAACAGGCCGCAAGGUGCUGACGAGUGGCGAACGGGUGAGUAAUGCAUCGGAACGUGCCCAGUCGUGGGGGAUAACUACUCGAAAGAGUAGCUAAUACCGCAUACGAUCUAUGGAUGAAAGCGGGGGACCGUAAGGCCUCGCGCGAUUGGAGCGGCCGAUGUCAGAUUAGGUAGUUGGUGGGGUAAAGGCUCACCAAGCCAACGAUCUGUAGCUGGUCUGAGAGGACGACCAGCCACACUGGGACUGAGACACGGCCCAGACUCCUACGGGAGGCAGCAGUGGGGAAUUUUGGACAAUGGGCGCAAGCCUGAUCCAGCAAUGCUGCGUGCAGGAAGAAGGCCUUCGGGUUGUAAACUGCUUUUGUACGGAACGAAACGGCUCUGGUUAAUACCCGGGGCUAAUGACGGUACCGUAAGAAUAAGCACCGGCUAACUACGUG
RNAcentral lists this ribosomal RNA (482 nucleotides) under uncultured bacterium. RNAcentral's name for it is "partial 16S ribosomal RNA". It matches the Rfam family "Bacterial small subunit ribosomal RNA", at positions 30 to 507 of the family's 1533-position model. The record is from RNAcentral.